AUUGAACGCUGGCGGCAGGCCUAACACAUGCAAGUCGAACGAGUGGCGGACGGGUGAGUAAUGCCUGGGAAACUGCCCGAUGGAGGGGGAUAACUACUGGAAACGGUAGCUAAUACCGCAUACUAUCGGCUGUGCCCAGAUGGGAUUAGCUUGUAGGUGAGGUAACGGCUCACCUAGGCGACGAUGCCUAGCUGGUAUGAGAGGAUGACCCGGCGCACGGGGCAUGGUGCAGGGUCCAGCCUCCUACGUGAGGCAGCAGUGGGGAAUAUUGCACAAUGGGCGGAAGCCGGAUGUAGCCUGGCCGUGUGUAUGAAGAAGGCCUUCGGGUUGUACAGUACUUUAAGCGGGGAGGCGUUACCCGCAGAAGAAGCAUCGGCUAACUCCGUGCCAGCCGCCGCGGUAAUUC
RNAcentral lists this ribosomal RNA (406 nucleotides) under uncultured bacterium. Its description in RNAcentral is "partial 16S ribosomal RNA". It matches the Rfam family "Bacterial small subunit ribosomal RNA", at positions 30 to 526 of the family's 1533-position model. The record is from RNAcentral.